Molecule: long non-coding RNA, 44188 nt
Filed under: Fragaria vesca (wild strawberry)
Lineage: Eukaryota; Viridiplantae; Streptophyta; Magnoliopsida; Rosales; Rosaceae
Description: long non-coding RNA (FVES_LNC000569)
Source: RNAcentral
CUGCCUGUUAUACUUGAGGUCCUUGCCUGCUCGCGGUCCAUCUGGUAGGCGUUGGCGAGGACCACGUCGGGGAGUGAUCGCAAGACGGAGGUCCUGCCAGCUAGAGUGUUGACCAUGGCAUUGUCAUUGGUCUUGAAGGCAAUGUACUCGUACCCGUUGCUCUGGGCUUUUUGCAACACGGCGUGGUUUUGCGGCACGAUGAAGAGUUGUCCCUGGCGGACCUGGUCGUCCAAGAUGGUCUCACCGUUGUCGUUCACCACCUGAACCCUGGCGCUACCUCUGAUGACAUAGAUGAUCUCAUGAGCAUUCAAGUUCCAGCGGGGGCUGUGGAUAGCAUUCUGCAUGUACCAUUACCAGAUAAAUUUCAGGAUUAAUUGAUCAAUAGGUAACUAAAUUUAAUUAUUAGAAACAUACAUGCUAGAAUACUCACGUUGUAGAAGAAACCUCUCUCAGCGCUGAGACGGAGGUGCCUGAGAAUAGGCAUGCUGAAGCUGUUGAGGGUGCUGAUGCGACCGGCUUGUGGGCUGAAGACGUCAGCCAUGGAAGGCUUGCCGAUGUUCUGCUUGAUCUGCAUGUGGCAGAAUACCUCCUCAAAGCCAUUCUGGCGGCCCUGUUGUCCUUGCAGUUGUCUUUCCUCCCUCUGUGACUCUGGUGGCUCGACAAAGUCGAAACGUCCCUCAACCCUAACAAUUUGUGGCCUGUUGUCAUUCUGUCCCUGGAGCUGCUGGACAGUCUGUUGGUCAAUGUUGAGAGCAUCGGCGAGGAGCUGGGUGUCGAAGCCGGCAAAGACAUUGUUGUUGUUGUUACCCUGCUGUUGGCGCCUGCUCCUUCCUUGUUGUCGGCCUUGCUGUCCCCGUUGGCUUUGGCCUUGUUGUCCUUGUUUCCACCAUUGGCUUUGGCCUUGUUGGUUGAACUCAUCUUGCAUGCGGGUUACCAGCAAGAUAGAAUCGCUACAAAUAGAGAUCAAGCAGCAAGCAUUGAGUGAGUUAACAAUGUAAAAUAAGUUGUUAACUUCAUGUUUAGAGUAAAAUUGUCAGUAAAAAGGUGUACCCUCUUGGGUUUUGGUCAAGCUGGUUGUGGUUGUUGCCGAUGUCUAGAAGAGUAACAAAAACAAGAGAUUGAUCACCAUCGUUGUGAGUCCAGGUUGUGGCUCCGGCGGGGAUUGCGAUAACAUCACCUUCCUUGAUGCGUCGCACCCUCUGGUGUCGGUCUAGCUGUUCAAACUCUUGUUGGCCUUGCUCUCCGAAUUGCCCUUGUCGACGUCCGUGUCGCUGGCGGUGGCCUCCGCCUUGUUGGCCUUGCCAUUGUUGUUGCUGUUGUUCUUCAACAGAUUGCUCAGACUCCUCAAAUGUCUCCGGACAGCCAGGGAAUACCAUCCCUAGAUGACCCCUACCUACAGUAGUGUCCAAAAAUAGCAAGCUAAACACAUGCUUAAACACCACUAGGUGCAAUUUACUGAAUAAUAAAUAACGGACUGUUUUGCACUUUACCUUGUACAACGUAAACAAGCCUUGGUGUGUUAGUGUAGGAAGGCAAGUGAAGGCCAUUACGCUCAAUGGUGAUUCUUUGAACAGCAACACCAGCGCACUAGAAGUCAUCCUGGUUGUGAUCCCAAGACUCGAUGCGACCUGCUUCAGUCUCAAUACGGUUGUCAGGCUCGCGGGCUUGGAUCUGGUUCAGCAUGCACACAUUUUGCUGGCUGAACUGAGAUUGUUGCCGACUGGCUAAGCAGCCUUGGAAGAGAACGAGCAAGCAAAGAGAAAAGGCAAGAGCUAAAGGCUUGGCCACCAUUGUAACAAUCAGUGGUAGAUAGCUAGCUGUGGGUUGUGGUGAAGCGGCGAGUAGAUGGCGUCGGUAUUUAGAGGAGAGAGGAGGAGGCGAGGAGGAGAAAAAUACAAGGGAUGAGAUUCUCUUUGCAUGCUAUUAGUAUCUCAAAUUCAUACACCUCAUCUUUAUACCUGGGCAGGUGGCUAUUGGCUUCAGAGGAUAUAUAUACAAAGUGCCGAGAACAAUGUGGCAAACAGGUGGGGGGUGGUCAUGAUUGUCUGCAAGUAAAGCAAAUUGUACUGCCUUGAACCUGGUCAAGUUCAUGAAAAAGUUCAUUCAAGAUAUCAGGUCUAAUCUGUUUCAUGUUUGGUAAAGUAAAUAGAGUAGCAACCUGGACCAUAUAUAAUCUACACAGGUGAGAUAAAAAAACCUUAAUUUACCAUCAUGCAAUAGCCAGAAUCCAUCUUCAAUCCUCUAUGAUUCUAUUAAGACUUAAAGCACAUUUACCCUCUUCAAGAAUUCACAUUCCAGCACUCUUCUAAAUGACUCUACUUGAUGAAAUUCAAAGUACCUCUCGCUAUAUUCUGGGAAUUACUGUGAUCAUCAGAGCAAUUACCUCACCUAUUAACUCAUAGUAUGCUUGAGCUAAUGUGAGAUCAUUCCUUAUAUAAAUGAGAAUGCAAUGCCUAACAUAAGUUUUAUGUGUAUAAUACAAUCAUAAGAGACUCACUGAUUACAAUUAUAUGAAAUAUAUGAAACAAAAGCACAGAAAAUAGACUUCUGGAAAAAGAACAUAUUUCUACAAGUGAAGGCUUAUUAUUUACACUAGUCUCACUGAUUUCCAUUUGGCUCUUCUGACCAAAUAGACUUCUGUAAAAAGUACAACAUUUGAGCCCAUGAUCACCCUCUACUUGGAAAUACCAUUGAUUCUAAAACAUAGUCCUUACAGUAUUUGUGGGAACUAGAUUAUUGGGUCAGUUUAGCUAAGAUUAAACUGUUAACAAAACCAAGCUUUAGAACCCAAUUUAGCAAAAUGAACAUACAAUAGUGUCACACCCCGGACCGUGGUUUCCAAGCACCAGACGCCGAACCCGAGGCGUGAGCGGGAAAAAUAAAAGAAAAUAAAAUAAUUUCAAAUACUUUUCCAGAAAUUGUUAAAAAAAAAGAAAAUAAAAUGUUUUACAAUAACAAAACAAUUACAAAGACAAUAAGAUGAGCCCUUGCGAUCUAGCUCAUUUUUAAUCUUUCGUAACUCUUUUCUACUCUUGUACACGUCUCCUAAACUUCAUAGUCUCGAAAUACGUUCCUCGUACGUACCUGAACAAAAGUCUAUAGGGAUGAGCUUACGCUCAGUAGGGCCAAACCUUUUUAGGUUAUACUUAACUAGGUUGCACAAACAAGUUAUCAAGCAAUGUCAAACAAUACUUUAAAUAAAUAACGGCAAUUCGAUGCAUGUAUGCUAAUGAAUGUCUUCCUCAAUUACUAGCUAUCAGUCCAUACAUCAAAGAUAAGUGAGCCUACACGUCUCAUACCGUGUAUUUUACCAACCGGGGAUAACUCAAAUGUCUCGAAUAUAUGAUCUAACAAUCAAUAAAAUCUCACCACCUGUACCUCUUUUGUUAGUCAUCUUGUUAUAUUCAUGGUCUCCAAACCUGAAACCCGAAGAUCGUUUUAUCGAUGUCCGCCAUCGAAGGGGCAUAUAUACUUUCCCCACUCAUUUGCGCAUGUGGGCUGGCAUGGAUUCAUGGACAACCCAUGAGAAAACUCAACUACACAAAAUGUAUAUAUUCUCUAAAUCUCAUUCUCCUCUCCAUAAUCAUCAUUCUCACCAUUCUCACAAUUCCUCACAAUGUUUUACACACUACAAGGACAAACACUUUAGCCGACGAAAAAGUUUCGUCGGCCUGUUAGCUUAAUUUGUCGGCUAAGAUUUCGUCGGGAAAAGGUCGUCGGCGAUGACUUUAGCCGACGAAAAAAGAAGACGUCGUCGGCUAUAGUCCCACAAUUUAGCCGACAAAAAACAUGUCGUCGGUUUUUUUCCCAGACUUUAGCCGACGAAACAAUAAGAUAUUCGUCGGCUAAAGUGUGUAAUAAAAAAUUAAAAAAAUAAUUAUAGCCUACCAAAUAUAGUCUGUUUCGUCGGCUAAACCUUAUAAAAAAAUUAAAAAAAUAACUAUAGCCGACGAAAUAUAGUAUGUUUCGUCGGCUAAACCUUAUAAAAAAAUUAAAAAAUAAAUAUAGCCGACGAAUAUAGUAUUUAAAUAUCGUCAGCUAAAGUUGCUGGUUUUUGAAAAAAAAAACUGCAGAAACUUUCGGCCAACUCCAAUCACCACCAAAAUUUGAUAGAAUCUUCCUCUCAACAUUUCAAACAACUUUCUAGAAGAAGUCGAAUCCCAAUUCUAAACCUAAACAGGUCAAUUGAAUCAAAAUAUAAAAAUCCCCAAUUUUAAACCCUAAAAACUUCAAAUCUUUGAUUCUCCUCACACACACCGAAUCGAGCUACCAAAUUCUAGGGGAAUGUAGUACUAAUCAAACUCAACUUAUCCAUAUAUAGAACUCACCAAAUGGUGACCUGAGGAAUGAGAAAUUCGAUCGACACCGAAUCCAAACCGGCGGAGUUUUGGAGCUCGAUUUAUCCCUCACGGCGGCGCCACUCGAUGCACCACCUAUCCAGCAAUGAAGUAGAGACAACGACGAAGCUUUUGGGACAAGUGUGGCGGUCUCCAGUUGCUUGACGGCAGAGCUAGGCCGAGAAGAAAAUCCGGAACUUUUUCUGAUUUUCUGACUUCUUACCAUCCACCUCUGGUAAAACUCCUAUAUAAAGAACUUUACCCGACGAAAUUCUUUAUUUUCGUCAGCUAAACUCUUUUGAAAAUUUUUGUUGACCGCCAAAAAAUUUGGUUGAAAAUUUUAAAAAUUUUUCGACUUUAGCCGACGACUUUUCAUAUAUUUUCGUCGGCUAAAGUCCUUUGAAAAUUUUCCUCCAAAUUUGGUUUACCGCCAACAAAAUUUGACCUUAGCCGACGACUUUUUUAGUAUCUCGUCGGCUAAAGUCUAUAAAUUCACGAAAACGCUCAUAUCGAUCUCCCUCUAUAUUACGUAGUUUGGUCAAACAUUCCACACGAAAAACUUUCACAUAGAUGAGACGCAACCGCCUAUAUAAAAAUUUUGAGACAUUUACCUUCCGACGAUAGGGCUCCCCAUAGGGAAUAAUAACGGUAAAUAGGGUUAACCGCUACUAUCGGCACCGAGACGUUACCCAGUUUACGUGGAUUUUGAACCAUAGCCGUAAUUCAUCAUUCUGAACACAUCUUAUUUCACAAGAUUUUUGAUAAUUUUGCUUCCUAUGUUGUAUAACCUACUAAACAAGUUAUACAACAUUACUAGACACGUGAUUCCGAUGACUAAAAUUCACAAACCAAAAUUCGACCAUCAGAUAUGAUCAUUAUGACGAAAGAUGUCUAUAGUAAAAAAUUUAACUGGAUUCGACAACGUUAAGGGCUCGAUCGAAACGGUCAACUCUAAUCGGAAAUAAGAAAACUGCAUUUUGAAGCCCUAAACGGACUCGGAUGGCCAAAAAGGCCCAUAUGUGAUGGCAUAGCGAUGAGUUUGACUCGUAGGGCCGUUACGCUUCUAGAAAUGUAUCACAAUAGUCAAUCGGACGCCGAAUGCCAAAUCUGCAGCAUAAUUAAUACCGGGUUUCGACUGUUCUACAUCAGAGACGUUACCCGAUUUACGUGAUUUUUGAACCAUAGCCGUAUUUCACCGUUCUGAACACAUCUUAUUUCACGAGAUUUUUGUUAAUUUUGCUUCUAUGUAGAGUUGGUUCACAAAGUUGUGUAUUUGUUUAAAACCUACUAAGCAAGUUAUACAACAUUUUAUUGUUUUUCUUUUAGCCGACGACUUUUAUCGAUAAUAGCCGACGAGUAAAAAUAUUGGCCAACGAAGGAAAACUUUUUGGUCGACGAAAAAAAAAUUUCGUCGACUAAAGUAUCGUAUAGCCGAUGAAAAAAUUUCUUCAGCCGACGAAAAUUUAAAUUAGCCGACGAAAAAAUAAUUCGUCGGCCUGGUUUUUUUAUUUUCGUCGGCUAAAACCUUUCUUUUGGUAGUGACACAUGUCAAAUGAAUAUCAAUACACGUUAUAUUAUUUUAAACAACAUGUUUUUUACGGAAAACGAUAACAUCAAUCAUAUAUAUCAACAAAUACACAUGUUUUUAACAAAACAAUAACAACCAAGAGUUAUCACUCAAUGACAAACAAAACAUCCAUUUCAAUUAUAAUCUAAUUAUCAAUUUAAGAAAGGUUCCCCGAGAAAGACCCUACCUGGAAUCCAAAUGCUACUUCCGACGCUAGCUAAAAUUAGUAACUCUGCUGAAAUCCUUAUCCUGCUACUUCUGCAAUCCAGCUACUCGCAUUCGAUCCUCGUACCGAAUCCUCAUUCCAAGAAUAUUGACAGACCACUUCAAAUCAGCUUGAUCUAAUUCUGAAAUUUACUAAGGACACCCAAGUCCUUACUUCCGAUUCUUCGACAUUCACUACUUAAUUCUCUCAUAGUAUCCAAACUCACAAUUGUGCUCCAAAUACGAAAUCCAUCUCCAAACACCAACCCAACUUCAAAUAGAAGUUAAUAUUUUUAUCUAAAAUUACUCUCUACACCCAAAACUCCCAUUAUAAAUCUCAAUACAGCUUGAUCAUCCUUCCCUCUUCUCCUUUGCACCAUUUCACAAUAUCUUCCUUGUAGACCCAACAAGCAAACCUCCAGACUUGUUCAUGAUGAACAUGUUCAUAUACGAGCACUUCCAUUACAUAAAUUAAAAUCAUUCUUCUACUUCCACAACUCUCAAACAUUAGACCAAACAAUUGUAACAACCACUGUUCUAACACUCGAGCCACAAUCAGCCUUCCAAUCAUCCCCUUCUCUCUCUUUUGAACGUUCAAGAAGCAUCAACACCAAUUCAAGUUCCUGAGCAAAGCCAGCACCGCCAACAACGCCACCACACACGGCAGCCGACGACUGCCCCGAAAUCAUCAACUCCUCCAAUCUCAAAUUCAAUUACAACCAACCAUGAAAUUAUAUUUUAAAGCCUCUAUCAAUAUCAAAGAUAGCUAAUCCAAAACCCAAAACAUUAUCAACGCCGCCGUGCACAGCAGCCGCGCACGGUGGUCGACUGCCCAAAUUCCACCUUCUUCCAAACAUAACCAAAUAUGAAUUCCACUUAUAUAAACAGGUAGAGCUCGACGAGAAGAUCAAGUUUCAUACCUCACUUGUCAUCGACGGUGGCCUGAAAGUUUCGAACCCUCGCCGGAAAACUCCUUGAGCUUUAAUUAAUCGAUUCUCACUCAUGGAGGCUCCUCUUAAUAUACGAACAUCAUGGAAGGGUUUCUGACAUCGAGACGAAGCUUCAGCUAUCGAUGAGAGGCGUCGACGCUGCCGGAAUCGAAAGUUGACCCGCGAACCCAGCCUCUCUUUCUCCCCUUCGAUUCUCUUACCCGACCUCUUCUGAAGAAACUGAGGACAUAGGGAAGACCACGAGAACGAGAGGAAGCUACCAAUACCCGUCACACUCGCCGUCGUGGCCGAAAUCACGAACUCGACCGGAAACCCAGAAAUUCUUCUCCUCCUCGAUUCUCUCUCUCCUCAGCUUUCCAUGGAAAUCCAACAUCACAAUCGUGUUGGGGACGACUAGACGGAGCUUUUGACACCGGUCUUGCACCGGGAAAUAGCUGGACCACAGAGGAAGGAGCUGAGCUCCGUCGCUGCAGAGCAGCUCGAGACCGAGUCGGUCUAGGCUUGUACUGAUCCAGUCCAAACUAAUCCCCUGUAUAUACAUACCUAAAUCGAUGGCCUAGAUCUAGCGGCUUAAGAGAUCCAACAGUCUAGAUCAUGUCAGCAAUAAGUCUAUUUUUAAUUAAAUUUUUAGAUAAUACAAACUUCUAAAAAUCAUUAAAAAUAGCUCUGAUGUCCAAAAAUACUUCCGUAAAAUUCUACAAACUCAUAACGACGUCUAGGUUAAUCCUAUGGGCUCGAAAGACAAAAUCGACAAACUAAAAAUUUGAAUAAUUUUCAACAAGCCACAAAAAAUUAAAAGAAUAAUAGAAAUCGAAAUAAAAAUAGCUCGAAAAAUAAUUUUCCUUUUAAAAAUAGAAAACUGAAAUUCCAGGAUGUUACAAAUAACUUCAGGAUUUCAAUUACAUGCAAAAGACAAGAGUUAGCAAGUAACUAAACCUUGGAAUUUAGAAUUUAAAUUUCAAGCCAGUGGUUAUUGUUGAACCUGUUACGAAGGAAAUGAAGCUCAGUCGACUGUGUGAUCGUCCGGUGUGGUUCACCUGAGUACCGUCGCUUGAUACAUUGAUCGGUUCCAUCUUACUCCGCAUUCCUAAUUGCCCGCUUCUCACUGGUGGCUGUCGUUUUCGUUUCUUUCGAAUAUGAAUUUUGUGUUGGGCUUUCGCAACUGUUAUUUGGGCCUGUAUACAGUAGUAUUAUCUCUCUCUCUCUCNNNNNNNNNNNNNNNNNNNNUAUUAUCUCUCUCUCUCUCUCUCUCUCUCUCUCUCUCUCUCUCUCUCUCUCUUUUCAAUAACCUGUCUUUUCUUUUUUAUUUAGAGAAGAUUCUACAACUUUUUGUUUCAAGACAUCUUUAUUUAUUUAUUUAGAGAAGAUUAUUUAUGAGGCUAUGUCAAAGAGAGAGCUUCUGCGACUGGAGUAGUUGACAUACCAUAGUUGAACGAAGCUACAACCCAUGGAUGGUCGUUAAUUGUUGGUGCUAAUCACGAAUCCCUCAACUGCAGAGUUUCUCCUGACCGAUCUAUCAAAGUUGAUUUUAACCCUAUCCCACAACCACUAUCCGGUUGCUGAAGCUCUAGCUCUGCGCAAUAGCCUCGUGUAUGCUAAUUAAAGAGCGAGGCUUCUCCAAGAUUGAAGUUGAGGGCGAUUCUAAGUUGGUGAUUGACGCCGUGAAUGGAGUGUCGACCCCUCUGUGGAAGUUACUCAAACUAAUUCAUGAUAUCAAAGUCUUGAGUAAUUCCUUUGAGUUUGUAUGCUUUCAGCAUGUGUUUAGGGAAGCAAACUUUGUGGCUAAUGCUUUAGCCAAUCUUAGAUAUAGGCUGAGUAACCUACGCUGCUAGGAGAAGUGUGUUCCCCCGGAAGUGUCUUCUGCUCUUGCCUUUGACAUUGUAAACCUUGGGUGCAUUAGAGACACCUCCAUCUAAUAUAUUUUUUUUUNNNNNNNNNNNNNNNNNNNNNNNNNNNNNNNNNNNNNNNNNNNNNNNNNNNNNNNNNNNNNNNNNNNNNNNNNNNNNNNNNNNNNNNNNNNNNNNNNNNNNNNNNNNNNNNNNNNNNNNNNNNNNNNNNNNNNNNNNNNNNNNNNNNNNNNNNNNNNNNNNNNNNNNNNNNNNNNNNNNNNNNNNNNNNNNNNNNNNNNNNNNNNNNNNNNNNNNNNNNNNNNNNNNNNNNNNNNNNNNNNNNNNNNNNNNNNNNNNNNNNNNNNNNNNNNNNNNNNNNNNNNNNNNNNNNNNNNNNNNNNNNNNNNNNNNNNNNNNNNNNNNNNNNNNNNNNNNNNNNNNNNNNNNNNNNNNNNNNNNNNNNNNNNNNNNNNNNNNNNNNNNNNNNNNNNNNNNNNNNNNNNNNNNNNNNNNNNNNNNNNNNNNNNNNNNNNNNNNNNNNNNNNNNNNNNCACUCUCUCUCUCUCUCUCUCUCUCUCUCUCUCUCUCUCUCUCUCUCUCUCUCUCUCUCUCUCCACCGUUGAGCAGCAACGAUUCUGGCAACACCGGACGGCGAGACCGCCACUGAAGUGAUCCUCUCCUCCUCCUCAACUCAGCCCAGUCCUUUAAUUCGGAAGACAUCCACUUUUGGCGGAGAUCGAUGGAGGAGGACGGUGACUAUCCUUCAUUGUUUUCCGGCGAGGGCUCAGGCUCCGAUCACUGAUCCACCUAGCGACGGUGAGUCCCUUCCUCCUCUCUUCCUUCUGCACAGUCUAGUGCUUUAUUUCCUUCAAAUCGAGACCUAACUCAGAAAUCCCCUUGUGUUUCUGAGUUUCUUGAGCUUCUUUUCCUGCGAUUGUGUUCUUCGUGUUCUGGUGGCGACCACGAGCUCCGACGAGCGUAGUUCAUCCUUGGAGAUGCCGGGACUUAGAGUUGGGAAGCUUUGGGGCAGUUGCUGUUGUGCAGCAUCGUGGCAAAGGGACUGCUUAUUGAUUUCAAGCAAGGAGAGGUUGCUGGGUUUGAGUGGUGUACAGAUUGGAGGUAAGGAGUUUGAUUUGGUCGGCUGUGUUGUUGUUUGUGUUGCGGUUAUUGAGUUGGAUUGUGACUAAAAUCAUUGUUGUGGUUGAUACUUGUCGAUGUCAAUAACUUGGUGAUAGGAGUUUAUGAGGAGGCUAUGGCAAAAUUCCGGUAAGUCGUCGGAAUCUGGCAAGAGAUUUCGACGAGGGCAGAAUCAUGCAGAGACUAUUGAGGUAGUUAUCGAUGUUUUUCCCUGCUAUUGUGUAUCGUUUCAAUAAUAGGAAAGUUUGUAGGUUGUAAUCGGAAAUCUUUCUAAGUGAGGAAAGUUUCUAUUUUAGGAAACUUUCCCUUUUUGGGAAACUUUCUAUUUAUGGAAACCCAUUGUUGGGUGCCCUUAGUGAUUUAUGGGGUGAAGUUGUGUUGAGAGGAAGUAUAUGGGGAUUGUAUGGGUGAAGAAACAAUUGUAAUUGUGUUGUAAUUGAGGAUUUCUCGGAUGAAGAAAUUGGAUAAUCGAGGAAUGGAUUUAGUGAAAAGGUUUGUUCUUAUUUAAGAUCUAAUUGAUUUCAAGUGAAGCAAAUAAUUGAUUUAUUAAAAUGAUUGUUGGAUUUGAAUUGGAUGGUUAAGAGUAAUCAAGGUAACCCGAAUUUUCAAGUCGAAGGUUAGAGUGGAAAAUGUUGAAACUUCGUUACUUGGCCAACCCUAAUUUAAUUGGUCAAUUUUGGUCAACUCAGGAAAUCUAGCCAAACUAGGAAGAAUUUGAAUCCAUGAUUAUUAUGGUGUUUGGUCUGACCGAUUUAUUCUUCUAUUUAUCGUCAGACGUGGGAUUGGCUAGAGAAUGUGAAUAGUUUGAGGCAGCGCUCGAGGAGUAUUCCGAGCAUUGGAAGACUUAGGCCUAAUACGGUGAGUGGACUUUUGUUUUAAAUAAUAUGCAUGCAAAUGGUUUAUUGUUGAGCAAUUUCUUUUGUUGGAGCAUUUGACGUCAUUUUAUUUUGACGAUUUCUUUUAUUUUGGAGAGUUACCGAAAAUGAGAUUUUCGGUGGAUAUGUAUAUGGAUUCUUAUGAGUAUAGUAUAAAUGCUAGCUAGCCUUACGUGUUUGGUCCGUCAUAAUAAGGUAAAAUUCCAUUAUGGCGUGACGUAAGUGUUAGACACAAGCGUCAUAGCCCUAUAUGAAAACUAUUUUCAUAUCUAGUUCAUAUAGAUUUUCAUAUAGGGAGUCCACACGUAUAUACACCCGUCCUCUUCGGUCAUAAUGAGGAAAAAUUUCAUUAUGGCGCGACGUGAGCGUUAGACGCAAGCGUCGUAGCCUUGUAUGAAUUUCUAUUUUUCUAUUUUGUUCAUAGAAUUCGUACAAGGAGUCUGACGAGUGUAAAUACAUACAUAUAUGUAUAGUUUAACCUGAGAUUCUGUAUUUUAUUAAGUUUUGGAGACUAGCUCAUGUAUUUGCCAGUUUAUGAGUUGAAAGCUUUUGAGCUGUCGCAUGCAGCAUAUUUUAUAUGGAAAUUAAAUUGGGGAAGCAUAAAGAAAUAUUGUUAUUAAAUUUAUUUUUGUCCACUCACUCUAACGUGUUUUCAAAUGUUUUCCCAUGCGCCAUUUGUUUUAAAAAUGCUCAGUAUGCAGGUUAGCUUAGUUGAGGUCGGGCGUACAUGAAGAAGAGACAUAGUCAAUAGUAUAGUUUCUGCUCAUUUCUAUAUUUCUAGUUCUUUUCUUCUCCAUUAGAGCUGUUCUGAACUGUGAUUGUUGGUUAUGGGAUUAUUCUUAUUAAGUUAGUAAAUAAAUUGGGAGAUGUUGUGAUUUGGGGAGCACGAAGGCUCCAGGAGUAGAGGGUUAUAGAUGGAUUUUUUCGAAGUGUUUGCAGGUAUUUCUAGGAAGGGUUGUCCAUUUUCAAGAGAGAUUAUGUCGAAUUUUCGGUAAAUUUUCCUUGGAGGUGGUCCCCGCAGGAUUUACUUCGGGUUUCAGGGUGAAAUUCGAGGUGGGUCCUGACACCAAGUGAGGAUUUUUAAAAAUGUUUAGGUGAUGUGAUAAUGAAAUUGGAAAAUAUCAAAUAACAAUUAAAACAUUCAUCUAACCAUUCAUUCAAAAGUCUACAUAUAAUUCUCGUUAUAAGUAGGAUGGCAAUGGGUAGGGUAGGAUACGGGGAUCAAAAUACCGUAUCCAUACCCUUUUACAUUUCUCAUCCCCGUACCCGUAAUUAGAUAAUGGGGAUUUCCCGUACCCGUACCCUUUGGGGAUUACGUUUCCAUACCCGUACCCGUACCCGUUAACAAUUAUGUAUUAAAUUAAAUUUUUUUUUAAAUACGAAAUACAUUAUAUAAAAGUAUGAAAUUAAAAUCAAAUACCAAAAUAAAUAAGUUUCAUGCUUCAAUCCAAUAAAAAUAAAUACAAGUUUUGGUUAAAACAGAACAAUACCGAUAAAUUUCAUUAAGAAAAUAAAAAUAUAUAAUAAAAAGGAAGGUCCGUUUAUUAAGAGAAUCACAAAUUUUUUUACAUAAAUAUUUAUUUAUAAAUUAUAUAUAAAUAUAUAUAAUAAAUUAUAUAAUUAUAUAUAAUAAUAUUUUCAUCCUUAAUAGGUGGGGAUAGGGACGAAUAUCAAAAUAUCAUACCCGCCCCGUACCCGAUUUAAGAAUCCGAAUACUGGGGAUCCCCAUCUCCAUUACCCAUUUAUAACCGUAUAUCUUCCUCGUUAGAGUCGAAUACCCGUGGGUACCCUACCCGCUAGGGAUUAUUGCCAUCCUUAGUUAUAAGGUUCUCAUUAGAAGUUUUCCCACUAAUGAAAUCGAAAAUUAGAAAGUCGCAACCUAGCUAUCUAUCAUGACGAAAACUAACAAAACCCGAUGAAGUAUCACACCAAGGAACUCUAGAUCUAACGUAUAUCUGUCUUUUGUGAUCCAAAAAACACGCGUACGACAUAUUACAUUGACUUACAACAUUUGGUGUACGGUAAUACCGUAUACCGUAUACCAUUUCCUAAACAUUUUCUCAAAAGUUAUACCAAGCACAACACCCAUAUAGGCAUAUUUAAGAAGUCCAAAAAGAAAUAAAGUUCAUUUUUCUCGGUCUUCACUAUCCGAUUUAAGUUUGUUUAACCCUAUACAGUCCAUUAUUUCAAGGAUCAAAACAAUUGAUAAUCGGAUUCGAUGCUAAUGAUCGACUUGGCUUUAAGGUGAUGGAAACCACUUCCAAUGGCCAGAAAAGACUUGAUUGGAGACUCCAAAAUAUAUAACUAGCUAGAUUCCGUAUUUCAUACCAAAUAGGAUCUCAAAUUAUAUAAAGUGAGAAAGCAAACUCAAACUAUCAAAAUGUUGUCGAAAUAUAUGGAUGGAGUUCUUGCAAAUUCUAUAUAUUUGAACCAAAGGAGAGUACGUACGUAGUACCUAUAGCUAUCUAAGGUUAGUCAGUUACUCAAUUUUAUUAGACUUCAUCAAUCGCUUUUCGUCUUUCACUCUAUAUAUGCCAUUUUGAAGUAGGUAUAACCAAGGAAAGGAAGUAGAAGAAGAAGGAAAUUUCAUUAUAAGCCAUACGAUUACAAGUGCAUAUAUAGUACGUAGUAGCUAGUUAUUGUCUUAGUGCGUUAGACCUCUCGUACUACAAGAGAGCCAUACAGGACUACCUUUAUUCAUUCUCUACCCCUUAAGCUAGCUUAGUGCCAAAACACUACGUGCCGCAUCAUAUUUUUACAUUUCGAUCAUCACAAUGAUUUAAGCAAUAGCCCAUCAGCUCUUCUGGGGCAUGGCAGCCGACCUUGAGGAGCUCAAGGCAACGAUCUCCUGCCUGUUGUACUUGAGGUUCCUAGCCUGCUGACGGUCCAUCUGGUAAGCGUUGGCGAGGACCACGUCGGGGAGUGAUCGCAGGACGGAGGUCCUACCAGCCAUGGUGUUGAUCAUGGCAUUGUCUUGGGUCUUAAAGGCAAUGUACUCGUAUCCAUUGCUCAUGGCCUUUUGCAACACGGCGUGGUUUUGCGGCACGAUGAAGAGCUGUCCCUGGCGGACCUGGUCGUCCAAGAUGCAGUCGCCAUUGUCGUUCACCACCUGAACCCUAGCGCUGCCCCUGAUGACGUAGUAUACUUCAUGGGCGUUCAAGUUCCAGUGUGGGCUGUAGAUAGCGUUCUGCAUUUACAACGUAUCAAUCACUUUUAAUUACUUAAGCUCAAACAAUUAAUUGGUAACUAAUUAAAAUGAACUAAUAAAUGCAUGGAAAAGAAUACUGACGUUGUAGAAGAAGCCUCUCUCAGCGCUGAGACGGAGGCGCCUGAGAAUAGGCAUGGUGAAGGCGUUGAGGGUGCUGAUGCGACCGGCUUGCGGGCUGAAGACGUCGGCCAUUGUAGGCCUUCCGAUGUUUUGUCUCAUCUUCAUGUGGCAGAAGAGCUCCUCCAUGCCGUUCUCUUCAUAUUGUCCUUGUUGUCCCUGCAUUUGUGUUCCUUGGAUUUGCCUUUCCUCCCUCAUUGACUCUGGGGGCUGGAUGAAGUCGAGGCGUCCCUGUACCCUAACAAUCUGUGGCCUGUUGUCGUUCAUUCCCUGGAGCUGCUGGGCGGUCUGUUGGUCGAUGUUAAGAGCGUCGGCGAGGAGCUGUGUGUCGAAGCCGGAGAAGACGUUGUUGUAGUUCCCCUGCAUUUGGUGCCUGCUCUUUCCUUGUUGUCUCCGGAUCCGUGGGCUUUGGCCUUGUUGGGUGAACUCAUCUUGUGGGUUACCAGCAAGGUAGAAUCUCUAUAUAUAAAGAGAGAUUAAGCAGCAACAAGUCAGUGAACAUUACCCUAAACUAUUUUUGGUACAUGCAAGAAUAUAUACUGAAUGAAAUGUGGUAAGAAAUUGUACCCUUGGGAUUCGGUCCAGCUGGUUGUGCUGGUUGCUCAUGUCAAGAAGACUGACGAAAACAAGAGGUUCGUUAGCGUCGUUGUAACUCCAGCAGGUGACACCAGCAGGAAUGGCGAUAACAUCACCUUCCCUGACGCGUCGGACCUUCUGGUGACGGUCGAGCUGAUCAUAGCUCUCUUGCUGGCCUUGCUGGCCCAUUUGUCCCUCUCGGCGUAUAAUCUGUUGCCGGCGGCCUUGUUGGCCUUGAGAUUGUCGUUGCUCUUCAACAGAUUGUUCGGUUUCUUCGAAAGUCUCGGGACAGCCGGGGAGAACCAUUCCUAGAUGACCCAUACCUGCAAUACUCAUAGCAAUAAGUUAACAGUCCAUCGACAAACGCUAGCUAGCUACAUGCAAUUUCGGUAUAACUAAUGAAGUGAUAUGAUAUUACCUCGGACGACGUAAACGAGUCGUGGAGUGUUAACGUAAGAAGGCAGGUGGAGGCCGUUGUUCUCAAUGGUGAUCUUCUGAACGGCGACGCCAGCGCACUGGAAGUCAUCCUGGUUGUAGUCCCAGGACUCGAUCCGACCUGCUUCAGUCUCAAUGCGGUUGUCGGGCUCGCGGGCUUGGAUCCGGUUCAGCAUGCACUCAUUUUGCUGGCUGAACUGAGUUUGUCGCCGACUGGCUAAGCAGCCGUGGAAGAGAACAAGUAAGCAAAGAGAGAAAGCGAGAGCUAAGUGCUUGGCCAUUGUGAUGAUCAAUGGCAGAUAGCUAGUUGUGGGUUGUGAUGAUGAAGUGGAGAGUAGAGCGUUGGUAUUUAUAGGAGAUGAGAGGAGGUGAGGGUGAGAAUAGUGCAAAUGAUGUGUAAGGAAUCUCAUGCCAUUCUUCUCUUUGCAUGGCUAUUAGUAUUUCACAUUCUUACACCUCAUUUCUCUUCCAGGGCAGGUGGCUCUUGGCUUCAGAGAAGGUUUAAAGUUAUAAGAACAAGGUGGCAACCAGGUGGGGUGGCCAUGAUUGUUUGCAAGUGAAGCAAAUUUCACCUCCCCGAACCUCGUGCAAUGCAUGAACUCGAAUAAUUAACUCAUGAAUCAGAUCUGAAACUGUUUCAUGUUCGUGAAGAAAUAUUACAUCAGUACCAUCCCGAACUAUCUAUAAUUUACGGAGGUGAAACAUAAGAUGAUAAGAACUUUAUCAUCUUCCAAAUAGUAAUAUCCAUAUUCCUUUACUCCCUUUGUAUGUAAUUCAAAUGUAGUAUUUAAGACUUUUUGAACAUUUUUCAAGAAUGAUCUCUGGACUCGGCGCGCUCUUAUGUAUAAGAGUUCCUUUACCUGCUAAUAAAUCUAAAUAACUUAUAUAUAUAUAUAAACGGAUUUUCUCAGCUGCGGACGUCCGCACCAAUUUUUUGGUGCGGAUUUCUAUUUUUUCAUCACUUUUCGAUCGAAUUUCCUCAUCUCCACCGUCUAGUAUCUAGAUAAUAUUGUGUAGAUCAUCUCUGCAANNNNNNNNNNNNNNNNNNNNNNNNNNNNNNNNNNNNNNNNNNNNNNNNNNNNNNNNNNNNNNNNNNNNNNNNNNNNNNNNNNNNNNNNNNNNNNNNNNNNNNNNNNNNNNNNNNNNNNNNNNNNNNNNNNNNNNNNNNNNNNNNNNNNNNNNNNNNNNNNNNNNNNNNNNNNNNNNNNNNNNNNNNNNNNNNNNNNNNNNNNNNNNNNNNNNNNNNNNNNNNNNNNNNNNNNNNNNNNNNNNNNNNNNNNNNNNNNNNNNNNNNNNNNNNNNNNNNNNNNNNNNNNNNNNNNNNNNNNNNNNNNNNNNNNNNNNNNNNNNNNNNNNNNNNNNNNNNNNNNNNNNNNNNNNNNNNNNNNNNNNNNNNNNNNNNNNNNNNNNNNNNNNNNNNNNNNNNNNNNNNNNNNNNNNNNNNNNNNNNNNNNNNNNNNNNNNNNNNNNNNNNNNNNNNNNNNNNNNNNNNNNNNNNNNNNNNNNNNNNNNNNNNNNNNNNNNNNNNNNNNNNNNNNNNNNNNNNNNNNNNNNNNNNNNNNNNNNNNNNNNNNNNNNNNNNNNNNNNNNNNNNNNNNNNNNNNNNNNNNNNNNNNNNNNNNNNNNNNNNNNNNNNNNNNNNNNNNNNNNNNNNNNNNNNNNNNNNNNNNNNNNNNNNNNNNNNNNNNNNNNNNNNNNNNNNNNNNNNNNNNNNNNNNNNNNNNNNNNNNNNNNNNNNNNNNNNNNNNNNNNNNNNNNNNNNNNNNNNNNNNNNNNNNNNNNNNUAUAUAUAUAUAUAUAUAUAUAUAUAUAUAUAUAUAUAUAUAUAGGUUUCAACCGCAAGAGGUUAGUUCAGCACUAGUAAAUAUAUAAUUACAUGGCACAUGGAAGUGAUGGAACAAAGAAGUGAUACGCAAAUCAUCAAACUAUCACAUACGGCCUGAAACUUUGUGCUAAUACGUACAUAUGCCCUUCAAAUAUCCCUUAAACUUGUCAUAUUGUCAUAUAUAUUGACAUGCAUUUCAUUUGCAUCAAUGCAGAAUCAAACCCUUCGUAUAAAAUAAAAAUAAAAAUGCAGAAUCAAACCCUGACGUUAAUACAAGGAUAUUAGUUCCUAUGUCACUAACCGAUCGAUUUGGUGCAUCAAGUGCUCACCCAUGUACAAUCCCAAACAUAUGAUUCAUAUGAUAUGAAAUAGGCCAUCACAACCGAGAACUCACCGCCCCUCCUCUAUUUAACCCUGAGCUUAGAUAUCAAUCAUAUGAAACGCAUUCAUUUCCACAAGUGAAUUAAAAACCUCUGAAGGCUUAAUUAGCCGUUUAGGGUUCAUAUAUGGAUCUCUCAGUAAUUUGAAUUUGGCCACUUAUUCGAUCUUGUCAAACGAAGGACGCAAGGCAAUCUUUAGCUACUAGUUGUCCUUAGCGAUGAUCAUUAAGCACGUACGUACAGUUUCUAUAAUAAACUUUCUUAUUUCUUUCUAUUACAAUGGUUUGAAGCUUUUCUGUGCUAAUUGAUUCGUAAAGCUCGAGAGUACGUAGCUAUAUAUAUCCCAAUCAUUAAGGACCCUAUUAAUCAAAGUGAACAAUUAGCUUCAGGAUAACUGAGUAGGAAUAAUGGAGUAGCACCGGGAAAUAAGUCGGAAAAUACGUUCGUCCGGACUAAGUACGUAUGUGUGCGUCCGGACUCUCUUUUAUUUACUUUCUUUUGUCAAUGCAAAUCAUAAUCUUAACCGUUCAAAAGUUGAAUUAACCUAUAUAGAUCAUCUCUACAAAAUUUCAAUGUAAACAAACAUCGUUUUCUUAGUCGAUUACAUUAAACAAAUUGACAGUUCUAGUGAAAGUUAACAGUCUCAUGAUCAGUCGUCCAUUUGUUUGAUACAUUCGGCUUAGAAAACAAUGUUUGUUUACAUUGAAAUUUUGCAGAGGUGAUCUCCAUAUAUAGGUACGUAAAUAAGAAAGAGUUCAGACGCACACGUACAAACUAGUCCGAACGCAAAUAUUUUCCAAAUAAACUAGUCCGAACGCAAGUAUUUUCCAAAUAAGUUAAAUGACAAAAGCCAAAGUUUACAAGUACAUAAGAUUAGACCGAGUGUAAUGAUAAAAUGCGUGCACCAAAUCGGAAAUUGAGACUGAGAAUAAGAUUAAACACUCUGUAGUGUGUACUUACGUAGAGUUUAUCUAUCAAACUUGUUGUCGAAUUUGCUUUGAGGCAAAACCACCUAGCUACUUCAAAUUGGCGUGUAAGAUGAUGCUUAUAGUUGUGGACUUGUGGGUAAUGAGUUGAGAUUAAGUUAGAGUGACUGCGAGAGCGGUAUGUUGGAGUCUUCAAAAUAUAACCCAUUUUACAUUUCUCCUAUUCUAUGAUUAUUCUUUUUUCUUAUCCUAUGUUCUAUAAGUAGAUAACACAAUUGUCAAUUCUUUUAUUUUUCUUCUCUGUUCUAAAAAAACAAAAGAAUGUCUAAAUGUUGAAUCAACCAUAUAACAAAUUAAGCAAUACACUAAAAGAAGCUGCAGCUACCAGCUUGCUUUGGUCAAUUUGUUAUAUACUAAAGAUAUACCAAUUAUUCAUCAACGUCGACUCGGGUCAACGUACCACAUAGAUAUGCAAUAUGAAAGGGAAGAGUAUAUCAUCAAGGCAAACCAAAAAAGUGAAAACUUCAUUAGAAAGCAUAACGUUACAAGUACGUACAUAUACGUAGCAGCUAGUACUAUAACUUAGUACAUUGGAUCUCCCAUACUACAAAAGAGCCAUACAAGGCACUUUUAUUCCCUCGAACUGACGAACUCUACCCCUUAGCUAGCUUGAUGCUAAAACACUACAUGCCGCAUCACAUUUUUACAUACAUAUAUUGAUAUAUUUAAGCACUAGCCCUCUCGGACUGGAAAGAUCUUGAGGAGCUCAAGGCAACAGUCUCCUGCCUGUUGUACUUGAGGUUCCUUGCCUGCUGACGGUCCAUCUGGUAAGCAUUGGCGAGGACCACGUCGGGGAGUGCCCGGAGGACGGAGGUCCUGCCAGCCAAGGUGUUGAUUAUGGCAUUGUCUUGUGUCUUGAAGGCAAUGUACUCGUAUCCAUUGCUCAUGGCCUUUUGCAGCACGGCGUGGUUCUGCGGCACGAUGAAGAGCUGUCCCUGGCGGACCUGGUCGUCCAAGAUGGUCUCACCGUUGUCGUUCACCACCUGAACCCUAGCGCUGCCCCUGAUGACGUAGUACACUUCAUGGGCGUUCAAGUUCCAGUGUGGGCUGUAGAUAGCGUUCUGCAUGUACCACAUAAUAACCAUAAUUAAAACUGCUAAAUUAAACUCCACCAUAACUUGAUUAGACUUAGUUGAUAGACAAAUCAAUAUGCAUGCAUAUAUACUCACGUUGUAGAAGAAGCCUCUCUCAGCGCUGAGACGGAGGUGCCUGAGAACGGGCAUGCUAAGGCCAUUGAGGACGCUGAUGCGACCGGCUUGUGGGCUGAAGACGUCAGCCAUUGAAGGCUUGCCGAUGUUCUGCUUCAUCUUCAUGUGGCAGAAUACCUCCUCAAAACCAUUCUGUCCUUGUCGUCCUUGUUGUUGUCUUUCCUCCCUCAUUGACUCUGGGGGCUGGACGAAGUCGAGGCGUCCCUGAACCCUAACGAUCUGUGGCCUGUUGUCGUUCUGUCCCUGGAGCUGUUGGGCGGUCUGUUGGUCGAUGUUGAGAGCAUCGGCAAGGAGUCUGGUGUCGAAGCCGGCAAAGACGUUGUUGUUGUUGUUUCCCUGUUGUUGGUGUCUGAUCUUUCCCUGUUGUCUCGCGAUCGAAUGUCGGCUUUGGCCUUGUUGGGUGAACUCAUCUUGUGGGUUACCAGCAAGAUAGAAUCGCUGCUCAUACAGAUCAAGCAGCCAUUGAGUUAAACGAUUUUGUAACAUUGUAUCCAUAUAUAUAAUCAGGUGUCAGUAAGAAAAUCCAUAUAUAAUUAUAUAUUAUCAAAACGUUGAUAAGAAAAGGUACCCUUGGGAUUUGGUCAAGUUGGUUGUGAAGGUUGCUGGUGUCUUGAAGACAGACGAAAACAAGAGAUUGGUCACCGUCGUUGUAGGACCAGGUUGUGACUCCGGCGGGGACGGCGAUAACGUCACCUUCCUUGACGGGUCGCACUUUCUGGUGUCGGUCUAGCUGUUCGAAGCUCUCUUGUUGUCCCUGUUGGCCUUGUCGGCGUCCAAUUUGCUGGCGACCUUGUUGCCCUUGCCCUUGCUGUUGCGAGCCCUGUAGUUGUUCCUCGUAAGAUUGCUCGGUUUCUUCGAAAGUCUCGGGACAUCCGGGGAUCACCAUUCCUAGUUGACCCCUACCUGAAAUAGAUCACGUAUAAAAGACAGUAAGUUAACCUUGCUCAAGCACAACAUGCAAUUUAGUCAUAAGUUGAUCAGAAAAAGCGACGUUUAGAUAUUACCUUGGACAACGUAAAGGAGGCGAGGACUGUUGGUGUAAAAAGGCAAGUGAAGGCCGUUGCGCUCGACGGUGAUUCUCUGAACGGCGACUCCGGCGCACUGGAAGUCAUCCUGGUUGUAGUCCCAUGACUCGAUCCGACCCGCCUCGGUCUCAAUGCGGUUGUCGGGCUCGCGGGCUUGGAUCUGGUUCAGCAUGCACUCAUUUUGCUGGCUGGACGGAGAUUGUUGGCGAUAGGCUGAGCAGCCAUGAAAGAGAACAAGCAAGCAGAGAGAGAGAGCUAAAGACCUGGCCAUUUUGUAGAGUGGAUACUAGCUAUAGCUACUUGGGUGAGGAAGAGAGUGGAGAGGGGUUGGGAUUUAUAGGGUAGCGAAAGAGGUAAGGGAGGGACACGUACGUUGAGGAAGGGGUUGCAUGUGUAUAAGGCAUCUUCAGCCAUCUUUCUGUUUGCAUGGUGUGAAGGUUUGAAGGGUUUACACCUCAUUUCUGUGGUCUGAGGCAGGUGGCUUUGGUGAAGAAGAAGAUACAAAGUGCAUGGGAUAUAUGUGGCGAGAGGAUGGAGUCUCCAGUAUUGUCCGGAUGCAAACUGAAACUGCUUUUGAAGUUUACUGCCUUAAUUUUGGUAAAUAUGGAGAAAAAUACAUACAGUUUGUGAAAAGUAAAAUAAAUAAAGGAACUCCAUCAACUCAUCUGAACAUUGGGAAUUUGGGAUAAAUAACUAGUUAUCUCGAUCUGAUCUCAGAUAUGCAUGGCCUAAACUUACAUCCUACACUACCAUAGCUGCAAUGUAUAUUAAUACACAUGAAUCUAACCAAGCUCCUUAUAACUAGAAAAUAGAAUUGUUCUUUUUUUUCUUCUUUAAUUUGUAUCUUGGGUAUCAGUACUUUAACUGAUAUAUAACAACUGGAAAACUGUACAACAGCGUCUUGUACGGAAGUGCAAUGUAGGACGUAUUUUAUAUAGGAAAAUUCAAGGUAUUGGACUGUUUGCUAUACAAUGUAUUUUUAAAUAUUUUCGAUCAUCGGUUCUUGAAUUUUAAGAAAUAUGGUAACCGGUUUGGGGUUGUCUACGUAUAGAGAUGUGUAUAUUAUACUCAUUUUACAACUAAUUAAACCAAACUUAUAAUUUAAUGAAAAUAAAUAUACGACGAUGACAACAAACCUACCAGUUGAUUAUGUCAACUCAUUUGAAAUUACUAAUGAAGACACAUAAGCGUAAAAAAUAAUAAUAAUCCUCUUUUUCUUUCAUUACAGUAGUCUUCAUCUAGAAGAAAAAAUUCUUUUCCAACAUAAACACUAACAGAUACGUCGAACUCCAUGGAAGAUAGUGACAUUGUUUUGGAGUAUAUGCACAAUGUAUGAGUUUCUUGUUUUUUUUUUUUUUUUUUUUUGUUUCUUUUUUUGUAUGAAUUCACAAAUGUAUUAUUGUAAUUGUUUCAAUAAGAAGGAAACUUGUUGUCGACUAAGCAGAGUUUGCCCGUCCUAUUACUACAAAGAUUUUGAAGUUGUUUUUUUCUUUGUGUAUACUAAACACUCGUAAAUUUUCUUUAUUCAAAAGAAAAGUGUAUACUGACAAUCUCUUCUCCCUAAUAGAAAUAGCUUUAUGAUAUAGCGGCAAAAGACAAAUCUUGAGUUUUGGAUUUCGUUAUAAGAACUUGAUAAUUUUAUAAGAAAGUAAAUUAAUGGGUUGUUAUAUAUAGAGCUUGAGUAUAUAUACAUGGACUCUUUUUGAUAAUUUUAAGAGAAUGUUCUAGGAUAUUCUGUAUCUUUCUAGAUAUUCUUUAUGUGUGCAUUGGCCUUAUGCCAAUAGGAUAUGUAGUUAGACUAAUUCUAUGUAUUCAUAUCCUUACCAUAUUGGUAUUGUGUAAUUCCCUAUAUAAAGGGCUCAUAUCAAUGAAUAAGAUGAUGAUUCUCUUGCUAUCUCUUUCUCUACACUUUAUAUUUCAUCACGUUAUCAUGCACUUUGUUAUAACCCUAGAGCCAAUAGCCCACCAUUUGUUUUCCAAACCCUAAAAUCUGACAGCCUUGUUUUUCCUGAUUUCCGACCAAAAUUCCGACUGCCCUCUGCCGGAGUUUUAUAUCCCCAGAAAGCUCUCUCCGUCCUGGAUCCAACGCCGCCGGCCUCACCCUGAGAACCGGCCGGAAAGUCUUCGAACCGGCCGCUAGAAGAUUCCAGACCGCCGCCGCUACCGACCACCGGUUCACCACCUUCCCUUGCUCCGAUCAACCUGAAAUUUUGACAGCAGCUUCCCCAUCCAGAGCUGCUCAUUCUGUCAAAUUUUCAGCCCCAAAUUCGAAGUAUAAGUAGGCGAAACGUUAUUUCUCCUCUCGGCAGCCUCUAGAAACCAAAGAUUUCAAGAUUGGUCGUCUUCCAAGGAAACCAGAAAGGUAUGUUUUGAAACCUUAAACUUUUCCAAGUUCAAUAACUCGGGGAGGAUAAAAUCUUUUCCGCCCUUCUCUAUCUCCAUUCUAUGCUUGGGAUUUUGUGUGUGCAGGUACCAAAAAUCCCGGAAUUUUAUUCGCGGGUCAAGAGUGUAUUUGAUCACUCUUGCUUCCUUGUCCAGGUUGUGUAUGAUCAACCCCAACCUUUCUCCGGAUUGUGUUUGAUCAAUCCGAGGCCUUUUCCGAAUUGUGUUUGAUCAAUUCGCGACUUUUUCCGGAUUGUGUAUGAUCAAUCCGAAGGACAAACCAUUAAAAGCAUUGUUUGUGACCUCUAUCGAGUCUCAUAACAGCUUGGUUUUGUAUGCAAGAGCAACGUAACAUUCUGCUCAUUGAGUUUUGACGUACUCGAUACCUAAGACGAAUCUUCGCUUGGUAUCUGUGGAACAUUUCACUGGAAAGGAUUAAACAACAUAUUUUGACCCCCAGGCUAACAAGCCUAGAUGCCGAGAUUUCACAUCUCAUGCGCUCAAAGUCUUUGACGCGCCACAUCGACAAGCCUUCAAUGGCAAUCUGUGUAAAAAGUAAUGACCACAAAGUACUAUGGAAUGCACUCAUGGAGCGUUUCUUGAAACGUCCAUAUAACUCUACUUGUUGAGUUAUUAGUCAAGUGGAUUACUUACCGCCUUAAUUGACUACAUAUUGUCGAUGAUCAUUUGUGGCAUCAUGAUCCAUAACCUUUAGCGGAUUCGAUCAUCAUCAAGUUCUCUAGGUCCUCCAAGUUGGUUUGGAAUUACCAACGAGACUUGAUUUUGAUCAUACAAACGGGAAUUGUAUAUAUACGCUAAUGUGAUAAAUUUAUUUAGGAUUAUCCCCUAAAUGUGGGAACAACAAUAUGGGUCAUGACAACGGCAGAAAACGUCGUGCCGAUGUCUAGAAAAGAGGGGGAGGUGUCACCGGCUCUAAUAGCAACACUCCCGGUCUAGACACCAUUUUGUCAAAACUACUCACGUCAGCUCAUGACAACGCAACCAUUGUGGAUCUUCGGAUCACUGGUUCAAGAUUGUCAAGCUCCUUCAAAUUGUGAAUGCAUACAAAAAGGUAUAGAAAAUCAAUAUGAGGACAAGAACAUCAUCCUCAUGAUCGCGAAUUUCAAAGAUUCGGAUCCUGCUCUAGCUACCCAUGACUUUGACGUCAUCGACUAGACAUUGAUUUUCGUUCCAAGCUAUAUGUACUAAGGCGUUGAGACCUUGAUGUACUCACAUUAGCAAUAACGAAUGCCUUGAGAAUUUUUUCGAAGUUAUAAAACUAUUCUCCUCUUAUGGUUCGUAUUGAUUUACAAACAAGAUUUACAUUUUUACAUCGUCCUUAGAAGCAUGGCAUAUUUACAAUCUACAUGGUUAGAUUGUGCAGUUUUGGUCUCUUCCAAGUGGAGAUGACGCACGCCCUUGCAUCCUUAAGUAGGAUCGCUAACGUGUUUCCGGUUAAGUCUUCUACCCUAUAGCAGAUUUUUCAUCAUCAAUUGUUCAACUAGGCUCAUCCAAGCUCAGUGUGAUGUCUUAGAAUUGCCCGAAAUUAAGGAGAUAGUGGUUUCAAGUGUGCCUCGCACUACCGACCCUCCACGGACAUGCCUGGUCAUACUGACUUGGAGUUACCGAAAGCUUUUGAUUUUGGAUCCCCCUACGCUAUUAAACCAAUUGCCGUCUUGCAAAAGAUGUUGAAGACUUAUCAAAAACCGGAAAAUUAUCAUCAUGAUCUAAUCCUCUAGGUCCUCUGAGUUAGUUUAUGUUCAUGUCAGGGAGAUUUUGCUAACUAGUCAUGGAGUUUACGACCUUAGAAUGACCGAAAGGACUUUGUUUUGAUCAUACACACGUCACUUGUGGCUAAGGCAAAAUCCUACACGCCACUUGCAAGCUUCACAGCUUCGCACAUGCCAAUUCUGCGAAAAACAGCAAUCUGUCCCUUCUGGACAGUCAACUUCGUUUGCGUUUUGUGAACAGCUCCGGACGAACCAGACAAUAAGCUUUAUAUCAUUGGAAAGCUCUAUGAGUCUAGUUUUCAGAACUUUUCGCGGUUCAUCUAUAUCUAUUUUAACAAGGAAGUUAUGGCUGUUUUAGUGCGCAAAAGUCAUUCUGCGCGGAAAUUUUUAUGCACUCUCGGGAUUGCAGCUUUUCGUAGCUUCUUUCAAUCCUUCUAAAUAGUUCAAGUGGAACUAUUAACUAGCCUAUCUACUCCUUCUUGUAGAUAUGUCUCAUCGAGACAUUGAGUGCUUCGCAGAUAGUGGAACUAUCCAUAACAUUCUAAGGAACCGGCAACUAUCUUUGGAUUUUGUGUCUUUGUAAAUCUUCUGUGACUACAAUGAUUGAAUCAUACCGGUCAUUCAAGGACGCGGUUUAGCUUAAAUCUUGAUGCCUCAUGGAACCAUGAUCAAUGUCACAGAUACCCUCUAUGCAUUGAGAGGCAAUCGAACCAUAUUGAGCUCUAAAGACAUUCCUGCUAAUAGUUUUCAUUUGAAAACACAUUGUGAGAAUGAACAAGAAUUCUUUUGUGUAUACCUUCUCAUGAAUGCGGACUGAAGUGCAUCUUGGAGAAAUUCAUGAGUCAAUCUAGUGGACUGUAUGUCACUAUGAUUCGAAUAUGAUUCGAAUAUCGAAUCUCAUGUUGUCACCAAACAUGAUAUUUGGGACACUGACUCAUAUAGGCUUUGGUUUUAACCAAUUAAGGUCAUCCUAGAAGAGAUAUAAUGGUCCAAAUUUUGAGAAAUUCUCAUGGACAUCCAUUCUUCCGCUCAAAACAAAGACAUUCGAGAUCUAGCAUCACCAUGAAGCAUGGUGGUGACCCGGGGGACAUUGACGUCACCCGAACAAGGCUCCAACUUCCCGGAGGCCGUCCGGUCAAUUCCUCAAGCAACUGAGGUGCACCAGCCUUUCCUCGAUGUCGCAUUGGCCCCCUGCAAUGCUUAUUACUCGUUUUGAAAGCCUAUUAUUUAGCUAAAUUAGGAGUGAGACCCUCCUACGCUAAAUAACACAAAAGUGAACAUUCUAUUCUUACAUAAAAUUAUGUAGAUAGAUACAACCAACUUGCGAACAUCUUUUAUGUUUUAUGGUGUUGGUUGAAGUGUUAACACACUGGUCAUGUGUUACACUAUUAUCUACUGCUUAUGUUGCUUAUACUUCUACGGGCUCACUACCCAUUCUUUAAAGAAGUUUAUCGGGAUGUAAGUUGAAGUGUCCUGUACCCCAUGUUCACACGCAAUACGGUCUCACCGAGGCUACGACUAAGCAACUUUAGCUUGUCGCUCGAACAUUAUUGAUGCGCACCAAUCUUUCUAUUGCGUCUUGGGGCUAUACAAUAUUUGCAUGCAGCUUUACUAUUCAUCUACAACUCACCAUCAUUGAAUAUUUUUGUACUACAGCUCGUGACUGUGUACCAGGAUUGCAAUCCUUGAGCUCAAACAAGAUUGAAACGGAUCUCCAAUCCUUGAGCUCAGCUAGAUAUUUAUUCUAGGUGUCAAAUCGCACUGCCACUGAAGGACAAUGAUGGGUCAUUUGAGAUGAAUAAGUAUUUAGGUUGGAUAUGAAUCUCCACCUAUAAUCCGCAUAUGUAGAAACCUUGUCAGACGAUCUCUUUCACCGCUAUAUUGCGGAUUGUCACUUUGAUGAGACAAUAUUCUCGCCGUUAGGGGGAGAUAAGAGCACAAGUGUUCAAGUGGAACGACGUGAAUUGUCGUGGUUUGUCCCCACUAAGUCUCAUCUUGAUCCCAAAUGCUUAAAGUGUUAAAGUGACGAGAUCACAUGCAGCAAAUAUGUCUGUAAGGAUUGAUGUCCUUUUCAAAGGACAUGGCGCGACCAAAAGGUGUUGGUCUUGACGCCAUCACCAUGGAUGGUGAUAUAGUGACGCCAUAUAGUGGCAAAAUUGGUGUCACAAAGCCGUGUGGCUCCCUAAAAGGAAGGAGACCUUUAGGUUCGAUACUUUCUCGCACUAGAAAGAAAACGAGCUUGGCACAACCUGAUCCAUUGAUCAGUGAUACUCAAAUCCGUCUCAUGAAGUCUGAAUUGUGAUUAUCGUUGGGGGACGCCUCAACGUCAAAUCCAAUCCAUAUAGAGAUCUCUACACGUAUUACACUAGUGUACAUGAGGACGUGGGAUAAUGAGUCUACUAUCGAACCACCCUUCGUUGAUGGAUAUCAACUUAGUUGAUUGGCCUAAUGGAAAGAUGUGAUCCAGCAUAACAAAGAGAUAGGUCCUUGGGCAGGUGAUGCCGACACCGCAAGCUAAACCCUAUCAACUAUGCCUUUGUUAGAUAACGUAGUGAGAACAAGAGCUUAGACUCACCUUAUGACGCAAGGUAUCUCACUAACACGCACUGAGAUCGACUACGAUAAGAUAUGCUUUCGUAAUGGAUGUCAUUGAACUCCACUACUUUGUCAGUUUGGUAGUUUCCGAAUAACUGAACAAGCAGCCUAUGAAUGUGAUCGUAAUAACAUCUCUACGGGAUCAGAGAUAUGCAUGAAGGUCUUGAACAGACUUCAUUCAUCCAAAUCAAGUGGCUCCAGACCACAGGAGCAUGUGUUUGCUAAAUGUAUUGAAACGCACAUGGACUCCACUUGAUUUGGAAGGGAUAUGGUGAAUUAUGCAUUUGCGUGUUCAUUCAAGAUUUACAUGGACUCUUGAUGGAUCAAGAGAUGCCAAUAUGUAUCAACAUCCGAAGAAAAAGAUCUUGGGAAGACACGGUCUCGAUAAGACACUCGAUGACUGUAUUGAUGAUGAUUUUUCAUCAAUCGGCUUAGGUGCUCUAACGAAAGUGAGGCCUACAUAUACUCCCAUGAUUAGUCAAAGUCUUUACUCUAAAGAGAGAUCCGUUGUUUUGUCUAAAGCAUGAUGACAAAUAUGUGUUAAGAGAUGGAGUUCCCAUCUAAGUACAAUUAGACGCAUCAAUGUACUCAACACAAUAUGAAAGACUUGACAUCUCAUUCGCUAUGAAAAGUUGUAAAGCUAAGUAUAGUUAUGCGCCCACGUAACGCCAAUGUAAUGGCAGUAACUCUUUUUUCAAUACUUAAUGGUAUGAAAGGUUGAGGCUAAUUCUAUCCCUACAUAAGAAAGACACAUCAAUAGCGAAAUCAAAAUCUGCCAAGUUUCGUAGGUCAACUUCCACGGGACCUACAAGAAAUCUCACUCACUAGAAAAUGGUGAAAUUGGUACCAUUGGAAAGUUCUAUGUGUCUACUUUCCAGGGACACCAACCAUUUGUUCAUACCUAUCAUAUUGAGUGAGUUAUGGCCGUUUUCAUAAAGUAUGACGAAUCUGUCCGAGAAUCUGAUUUUGGCAAAACAGUCAACUUCGACGGGACUUUGUGAAUAGCUCCUGAUGAAUCAGAACAUGUGUAAUAUACAGUUGGAAAGCUAAAUGAGUCUAGUUUCCAAAACCGUUUACGGUUCAUUCAUAUGUAUUUCCUAGAGGAAGUUACGACUGUUCUAGUAACUGAAGGUCAUGCUGCGCGGAAAUCUGAUUUCCUGCACAAACUUAUGUUUUGAGUUCACAAGCGGCCUUCUCCUCAAGAUCUAAGUGUAAAAGAUCAUUUGAGGACAAUACGGCAUGAUUUAGUUAAUCAUUGCCUAAUGCCACAUUUGAAGACAUGUUAAAGAGCAUUGACAUGCUAAGUUGUUGAAAUUUCCGUGAUUAGUAAAAAUCAGGAAUAGCCCUAUGAUUGAUGUAAAGAUCAGGGGGAGGUGCAAACUUCAGGGGGAGUCUAGCACAUACAUACAUGUCACUAUCAAAUGUGAAUGGUGCGUUGUACUCUUUUUCUCCUACGAUCAAGGUUCAGUUUUUCUCCCACAUGGUUUUUGUGACUUGACGAGGUUUUUAACGAGGCAACAGAUCAGCACCAUCGGCAUAUCAGAGCGGCACAAGGGGGAGUGUUCUAGGAUAUUCUGUAUCUUUCUAGAUAUUUUUUAUGUGUGCCUUGGCCUUAUGCCAAUAGGAUAUGUAGUUAGACUAGAUCUAUGUAUUCAUAUCCUUACCAUAUUGGUAUUGUGUAAUUCCCUAUAUAAAGGGCUCAUAUCAAUGAAUAAGAUGAUGAUUCUCUUGCUAUCUCUUUCUCUACACUUUAUACUUCAUCAGAGAAUAAUGUUUUUCUUGAUUUUAUUGGACUAUGGGCGUUCUGGGAAAAUUGAGGAGGUGUAUAUAACAUUUUAGUUAUUUGUAAAAGUAAAUUUGAGGUCCAUUAAACAAGAAGAUCCAACAGCCGUUUUUAGAGAUAUAAAUAGAACCUCCCAUGACGGAAUGAUAUUACAGUGAAGUUGAAAAAAAAAAAAAAAGUCACAAUGUGCUUGACCUAUAUAUAUAUAUAUAUAUAUAUAUAUAUAANNNNNNNNNNNNNNNNNNNNAAAAAAAGUAAAAACUAACAUAUGNUNUACUACUAUAUAUAUAUAUAUAUAUAUAUAUAUAUAAACCAUACUUUCUUGUAUCAUCUUCAAAAAUAAGGUUCAAAUUAACAGCUAAACAAAACAUCGAUUAUCGUACGUUAAUGUUUCCUUUAGUUAUAGACUACUAGCAGAAAUCCGUAAUAUAUAUAGCUCCACAAUAACUAGUAGUGAAGUAUCUACGUGCAUGCAGAGCUAUCUAUUUGUUCUGUACAUGGGAAUGGUGGGUUUGGCUUUAUACCGAUAAAGAACUCUCCUGUCCUUGAAAUUCCAGUUCUCAAAGGUCACGAAUAUCUUCCCUGGUUCACUAAAGUAGAAGGAGUUUCUCACACUCUCUCCUUGCAGUCUCUUCUUGUCUUGGAUUAGAAUGUUGUACGACCCUUCAUCAUCAGGAAGGAACUCUUCCUUGUACAACACGUCCCAUCCCACCACAGUUAGAUCCCACACCAUUGUCAAUCCACCCUAAUCAAAUGAAAACACCCCAAAAAAUGAAAAUUAUUAGUUAACAACAAGAUUCAACUCAUCAUUCGAUUAAACACGCGAUUAAUGACGAGAAUUAGUACCUCAACAACUGGAAUUUCAAUAUAGUUGAUUGUGUUUGCUUUGAUUAUGAGCUCAGAUACUUUGUCCUCUGGUGUGAACUCAUCAUCUUGCUCUCUUUUGAGGCCACCAUAUUGAACUGGGAGUUCUUCUGGUUCUAUGAACCUUUUUUUUCAUAAUCAUUUCCAUGCAAAGUAACUUGUGUAUUAGAGACACGGAUGAGAUACUAAUGUAAUUGGAUAGUUUCAAUUUUUUGAGUAGUAAUCUCACUCACUUGAGAAGGGUCUUUGUAACCUUUUGGGAUCUAGCAAAGAUGAACGUCUUCUUAGUUCUGUGACUUAGAAACCUUGAUCGGAGCACAUGAGACACAUAAUACCAAAGUGGAGCAUUGAUAACAAUCUGCCAGUGGAAAGCAAGAAAUUAACAUAUACCACAUUGUAAUUAGCAAGUGCAGAGUUUUGCUACUUACAUUCUUUUGAAUGAGCUCAGGAUAGUUGUCCUGUAACAAGAGCAGAGUUUUGCUACUAAGCGAACGAAGCUCCUUAAAAUCGGGGCCUGGGGAAUCCUUCAAAUCCGUAAUCUGAACCAUCGAAUCAACCCCUCUCUUGAAGUUGAGCUUCUUGAUUCCCUUUUCAAUGAAUUGAACUCUCCACCUCAAAAACUGUUGGCGUCUUGCUUCAGACCCGAAUGUUUUCUUGUACAAGUCUUUGUCCUUGAAAGGUCCAUACGAAGUGUAACACAAAGGGUGGCCAUCUUUGUCUCUACUAUUUAUGCACACCACGUCUUCAAGACCAGAGACUCCUAAAUCUUCUUCCAGAAUUUCAUCAGUCCUGAAUUCUUUUCGCCAUUUCAGGGUUCUUUUCAGCAUUUCAAAUGCGUCGCUGGUCUUGUAAUCCCGGGCUUUCAAGAAUUUGAGGAGCAAAACAUCAGUGCCUUGAUGGCCUUUGCUUGGCAACAAAGGCACACCCCAUAGGGUAAUCUCCUUGAGUUGUUCUUUCUGCCUCAAGCUUUCAUUUCGGCUAAUCCUUCUGCUGGGUUUUCCGAGAAUGUAAUUCCCCAUAAUUGCAUCUUCAACUCUGCACCGGAAUUCCAUCAAGGCUUUCCUCUUCUUCUUCUUCAUUGACGCAGAAGCAGCUUUGGUUUCCUCAUCAUCCUCUAUAGCUCUACGUUCAACAUCUUCUUCAUCACUAUCCGGACAUAAUUCCCGGGGGCUUUCCAAGAUGUAGUCAUUAGGCUGAUCAUAAUUUCCCAGAGGCGAGUCAAGCUCUUGCUCUCUGCCCUGGUAAUUAGCUUCAUUUUUCAUUUUGGGUCUCCUGAUCAUUCAUCUCCCAUUGUCAAAUAUAGAGGAGAUUGAAAUCCCCGGCAUUCAGAGUUUCCGGGGAAACUGAAUAUUGGUGGUGCUCGGAUUCAAUGAUGGGGAGUUGAGAACGACGAACACAAAAAGUUUACAUCUUUCCUUUCUCUAUUACCUCAAGCUCAAGAAAGGCCUGGCGCCAAAUUUAGGUUGGACAAUCGUAGUAACUAACGGUGAGAUUGGAACAGGCUUUUUUACAAGUGUUUUAAACUUUUAUCCCCAAUUCAUCGGGCUUGGCUGGCAUACAAUUAGUGGUUGUUGUAAAUAGAUUAGGUUCCAAAUGCAAGUCAAAUUUAGUAUUUGAGUUUCAACACUAAACCCUUAAUCCAACUCGUUGCCUAACAAUGUGCAAGAAUCACUGUCCAAGUCAAAAUUUUGCCUUGCUGGGAUAAGGGAUCUAAGAACAUCUCCAAAAAAGAGAUAGAAAAACACAAUUGUACAAAAGCAACACCAUGGAAACGGUGUUAUGUCGUAAAGGUGCAACAAGUUAUUCAAGUUAUUAGAUUUGCAAAGGUCACCAUCUGUCCUCAAAAAAGGUCACAAACUGAUCUCCACUGUCCUGGUAUGGGAGGCAUUGACAAUAGAAUGAGAAGAACGAAAGAAAAGGGGAACAACUUACAAGCUAAUACUAAACAGAUGGUUGCUGGAGAAAGAAAAGAGACAAUGGCUGAGAUUAAUCCUCUACAUUCUGGGAAGUUCGAUGCAUUAUCUUGUCCUCCUUGACUAAUUCACAACCUGUAGCAGUGAUUUUUACAUCCUAAUACAGCGAAACCUAACUGCUGAUUUCCAUGCCUAUGAAAAGAAUGUAACCUGAACGGCCGUUGAAAUCUUGUAAUCAUAUUUACAGUGAAAUGGGAUGUGAAAUGAUUGAUCUGUAUCUAUAUAACAAGUCAUUAUCCAACUGCAGACUGGGAGCUGCUGCAUUACUCCUCUCGAAAUCUAGUCAAGUCAAAUGACAUGGUUUUGGAACAACUGCAAUAACAGCAGCACAAUUAGCGCGUUAAGAAACUAUAAUAUAAAUCCUCAAGAUAUAACCAUGUGACGUGCUCAAAUUCUUGUCUGAUGCUCACCUCAUGUCAGCGUCCCUGAAAACCCCAACCAGAGCUUCAGCCUUGUCAUAGAAGCUAUCUUUUAGAGAUAUUACAAUACUCUGAAAACCAUUGCCUCCUUCCGUAUCCUGGUUAACCCUGGCUCCUUGGCAAGACUUUGAACGGAUGAAUCGAGCAACUUUUGCUACAUUUAAGUUAUCCAGUGCAGCAUCAACUUCAUCCAGUAUGAAGAAAGGCGAAGGCCUAUAGCUGAAGCAUUCAUGAAAACAAAUGUGGAAAAACAAUUAAUUACAGGCUCUUAUCUACAGUGUAAAAGAGUAGAAACCAAAAACUAGAACAAAACUUUCGUAGUGGAACAGCGUACAUAUUGGUGAAAGGAAGACCAAAAGCCAGAAACUCCACAAUCCCCACCCAAAAAUAUUCAUAACUAUUGAAGCAUGUGCUCUAUGUAUCUACUGCAAGGCCUACCCAGAAUCUUUUGUUCUUGGAUGUCUUUAAAGGUAAACACUAUAUAUGAUUAACAUAUACCUGUGUAUGGCAAACAGUAAUGCUAAUGCUGCAACAGUUUUCUCUCCGCCAGAUAAUUGUUCCAUAUCUCGAAAGCGCUUUGUUGGGGGCAUAGUAGUGUACUUGACGCCAUGUAGAUAUGGAUCAUCUUCAUUUUCUAAAUUCAAAUAUGCCGUCCCACCAAGUGGAUGUGUAUUGCUCUUCGUCAGUUGCUUGUAUAUCUUAUCAAUAUUACUAGAAAUAUGGUUGAAGGCAUCCAUAAACUUCUCAUACCUGCAUUGACCAAAUAAACCAUUACAAUCAAAUGUCAGGGAAAAAAUAGAAAUCAGUUGCGUAGUGGGCAUAUUUGUCACUUACGUGAUGAUUUCUUUCACUUUCUGUCGACAGUAAACAUUGACCAUUCCUAUUACUAGUUUCUAUCCAUAAAGUUUGUCUUACGAAACCCAAUAAUGUGCAAUCAUGUAUAGUCAACUACAUUAUGAUAAUUAGACAAUCCAGUAGCAGUGUAAAAGCAAUCAAUACCUGCUUUGCUUAACCGAGUUAAACAGAUCAGCCUUUUGCUUCUGUUCUUUUCUGGCCACUUCAAACUCUGCAGUUAUAUCUCUUUCCUUUUCUUGUAGAGCCUCAUAUUGGUCCAUGGCCUUCAAAUUGGGAGCUGUUCUUUCUAUUUCUGAUAGCUUGGCAUCCAUUUGUUUCUUAAAGUCUAACUCGACUUUCUCCCGCUCAGAAGGCCUCCUAUCUCUCAAUAGAGACUCAUCUAACUCAUCAAAAUCAAAUACUGGGCCCGUUGUGGAGGAGUCAGUCUCCAUUGGAUCUGAGAUGAUAGGAAGGCUUAUUUGCUGAAGUUCACAAUUUUCUACUAUCUCCUGCUUCCGAGAUGUUAGCUGCUCAAUCUGAGUUUCCUGUAAGGCACGAAAAAAAUGUUUAGGGAUUCAAAUUAACAUGGUACAGAAGUGUCGCAAACAAAACCAAAUGCCAACCUUAGAAUUUAUCUGUCGAUUAAGUUUGGAUACAUUUGUUGUAGCAGUAGAACCCCGCUUGUUCCAUUCUUGAAUUUCCUUUUCACACCCUUCCGACUUGGAUUUCCACUCUACAUUAAUAGUGAGAGAUACAACUUUAUGAACUAAAAAGAAAGGAUAAAGUGGGUUUGCGACUCGUUUGAACAACUUGGGAAAAAGACAGAAAAAGAACAACAACCAUGAGAUCAAGUCCCGCGCUCAAGGCCUAAAAUCUGAGAAUUUAAGUUCUCCAAAAAAAAUACAGUACCAUGCCGAACUUUUAUCAUACCUUGUGCAUCUUCCUUCAACUGCUCAAUCUCAGCAGAGGCUUUUUCAGCUGCAGAGUUGGCUUCAAAUUCUUUCUUUUGAACCCAUUCUAAAUCUUUUUGUAGAUUACUAAUAGAUGAUUGGAGUUCUUCAAUUCGUGUAGCCAUGUCCCGAUUUUGCUCAUACUCUAGCCUGAAAGCAAACAAAGACCAGUAUUUUACCAUAAAAUAUGAGCAAGUGCCAAAGCUGUCAUACAACAAGUACACCAGAAACAAUAGUGGUGAAACUGGGCAGAUUGUUUGGGUUUGAUAUUUGAGUACUUCAAUAGAACCUGUGGUCAAUCUAAAAAGUUAAAACAAAAUUUUCAAAGACUUUACAGCCCUACAAAGAACUUGUAACUGGACAGCGUCAAACAUCUCUCAUCUUUAGUGAUCACUGCUUUCUAAAAAAGUCGUGUGAUAAUAGACACGACAGCGUUCUUUAAAGAUGAUCAAGACACAUCAAAAAGAAUAUAUGGUGGGGAGCGAGGAAAACCAACUGACUAAUUGGCCCAAUACUUGUAGUUGGUUGUUUCCUCAGUCAAAGUACUUGUAGUUCAUCAGAAUGUUAAAGCACAAUUUGAAGAUGCAUAAAUGCAUGCACAUUCAUACAAUAGUGUGGGAAUCAAUGAUCAAGUUAUAUAUCACAUAAUUCAUGCAUGUGUCCAACAUAAUAUACACAACUCACAUUCCACUGUAUGCCCAAAAUAAAAUAAUUACCAACAUACAACAGUAAAAUUGACAAAAGAUAAAAUAUAGGGAAGAACAUACUGGUAUUUCAAUUUUGAUAGCUGGCUACUCAAACUAAGCCUCUCUUCAGCCAUAGAUUGGGAAACCUUGAGUUGUUUUUCUUCAUACUCACGAAUGUUAUCUACCCCAACAGAUUUACUAAAGCCUUUGUAGAGUCUGUCAACAAUAUCAUUUAUCCUCUUCUCAAGCUUAUUGAUUUCUGUGCUCCGCUUAUCUACAGCUUGUUUUAGCUGCAAUCAUUUUUAAAACUGCUGUGUGAAACAAAAUGCUAGAAUAAGCUAGAGAAAACAGUAAUCAGGGAAAUACCUUCAGAAGAUCAGGACUGAUACGAUCAAUCUCUUCUUUUAUGUUCUGCCUCUCCCGCGCCAAAUUUGCAAGUUUGUCCUUGAUGCUUUUCUGUGAAAAAACUCAUCUUAGUUUUGAAUCCACUAGAAGGAACCUCAUGUUUAGCUUAAUUAAGAUAUAUCAAAGUAAAAGACUGAAAAACUAUUCACCCACCCUCCCACACCCAAAGCACAAAGGAAAAACUAAAAUAGAAUAAAUAGCAUUCAUCUCCACUUUAUAAUUAAAAGACCAAUACCAACCCUUCCCAUCAAGUCUAAUUCAUCUUAUUUGAUAAACCACACACAAGUGACACAACCAGACAUAAAACAGCUUCAAAGUUCAACCUGCAUCUUCUAGAUUUGGUGUCUGGGUAUGGAUAUAAAACUACCUUACCUGUAGAAUAGGAGUGAAAAAAAAAAGAUACAAGUAAAUCCUUGCAAUUACCUUCUCAAUAUCUGCAUAUUGGAUUUUCUUAUCAAGCCCACUAAGUCUGCCAGCUGUUUCAGACUCUUUUAGCUGCAUCUCUCUAAUUGACCCAAGCUCUUCUAGCUCCAACUCAAACUGUUCUUUCUUCUUCUUCAGUCCUAAACAACAAACAGUUAAACCACAUCAAAAAUUACCAGACCAAAAUUCAAAUGACAAUACAGCAAUUCAAAACUCACCUUCGACUUUUUUAUCAUCCCACUGUUUUGACCUAGCUUCCAUUCCUCCACUGGUACCACCAGUCAUUGUGCCAGAUUUUGACAGCAUAAUUCCAUCAACAGUUACAACUAAUUAAAGGGGGAAAGAGAAAAAAAGUUAGAUGCUGGCUAAAUAAAAACAUGCCUGACACAGAUACUUAACGAUAACAAAGUUGAACGCAUUACCUUUGAACCUCUCACCACUCCAGCUUAGGCGCUUAGCCUCAUCAAGUUCGUCACAAACGAGAGUAUUGCCAACCGCAAAGAGAAUAGCCUUCUCCAAGGCAUGAUCAAAUGUAUGGUUGUUAAGUAGACAAACUAAUAGCACCUCUUCGUAGAUUCUCAUGCAGAAAAUAGUUUUCUUACAAACAGAAAAACAUACAAGGAAUACAGGCAACAUACAUCAAGGACAGUACAUAGCAUAGUGAUCAGGAGGAUGAUCUAAAACAAUAGCUAACCACGAAAUGAUGAAGGUGUGAGCGUGCUUCUAUGCAUUAACAUGUUCCAUCUAAAUAAAUGCAGAGACGAUACUAAUCUGGAUGAUUAUACUCAAACUCUUUGUGGGAGAAAGCCAGAGGAAUGAUGAGUUACAUGAAGAAAACUUGUGCCAUAAAUGGAAGAAAAGAAUGAGAACAGAAAAUCAUCCAAGUUGAAAGGGAAAAGAAUUAAAUAAUUUUUUUUAAAAAAAUCAACAAGAAUAAAACACAUAAUGGGAUCCUAAUGCAAGUCUAUAAUAGAACACAAGUUGUUCAAUUUUUUUAGUUAUUUAAAAGUUCCAUAAUUUCUUCUAGAAAAAUAUAUGUUUUCGAUAACCAGAGUUCCACUACCCAAAAACAAUAAUGCACCAGAAAUUAGCAGCACUAACCGGCCCAGAUCAAAGAUACUCUCUUACUGCAUAUGAUGGAAAACAUGAAAAUGUAAUACAACAUAUAUAUACACACACAAAAAUAUAUGUAGUUAUGUAUAUAGAUCAAUCACACAUAACAUCUCUGCCUAUUUCUAUGCAUACAAAUAAAGAGCUAUACAAUGUGCACUACACACAUCCUUUUCACACAGACAUGCAUGCAUGCAGACAAACACCAACAAGAUUACACAAAAAUGUAAAUCUUCAACUACAGAGUUCGGAACAAACAAAAGUUUGGACACUAAACCAAUGUAGGCUUUUGUAGAAGCAAAUAUCAAGAAAAUAACACAUAGAUUUUAUUUGAUCUCUACUGUACCGUAAGAUGAUAACCAUGACAAAGAAUUAUUGAAUUUUUGCUCUCAAGAAAGCAUGAUGAAAGGAUAUUGAACAACAUCAAAAACCAGCUUUGCAGUACCACCCAAGUUACGCAGUCUCUCCAUUACUUGCUUUACACGAACAGAUUGGAGAGGUAUGAAUGUCUGAGGAGGAAGCCUUUGUUCUUUCAAAUACUGCAGAAAUGCAAGGAUCAGUAUCAGAACCGCAUUCACAUGAAUGAUAUAAUAUUCAAACUUUGUCAACAUAUAUUUCACAUUGGUACCCCAAGUAAUCAAUAAAACUGUCCGUAUCAUUAGAUAUUUCAAUAUUCAAACACACAAAAAACCAACAGACUCAAACAGGAUAAGAGAAAGAAAAAAAAUUAAAUCUCUUGAUUUUCCUAUAAUCUAUUUUCUUUAUUUUUAUUCUGAUUGCCUUGCAACUACUGUGAUGUGAAUAAUCAUUAUAAAAAUUGAGAAUUUAAAAUCUUAAUUUUACCAAUGAAAUAAGGAAGGCAAUCUUAACAAGCUAGUGUAAGCAUUCUACAAGAGCGAAAAGAUGAGAACAUAUAUCACCUUGAUACACUCCUUUCCUGUUUGUUCAUCUUCAACUACGACUGCAUCCAUAAAUUUUCCCAUGGCAACAGUGACAGCAAGAUUAUACUUCUUUUGUGUUGGCCUACAGAGUUCAGUCAUGCGACCAUGGACACCCUGAAACAAGCGCUUGAGAGUCUCUACUGCCUGAGACAACCUGGAAUCCCUCUCAUUCUCAUAUCUAUCGGCCUUCAGUUCACGUAAUUGCUUCUCUAAUUCAUCAAUUUUUGACUUCAAAUUUUCAUACUUCUGUCUGUAUAUCCAUAAAAAGGAUAAUAGUAAACAUACAAAUCAUCACAUUUUGCUAGUGUCUUGUAAAAUAAGUAAAUAACAACCUAAAGAAGAGAAAAGAAUGGAGAAAUUUAAUCAAAUGAAUAAAGGGGAAUGAGAAGCACCAGGCAACACAUGCCAAAACCUUAGCAGAACGUAUGAAUGACUCUUAAAAAGCAUAAAUUUAAAAAAUAAAAAUAAAAAAAAGCAAGCAUACAAGCAAGUUGAAUAACCUGGCAUUCUGAUGUUUAUCCUUCAUCACAAGCAAUUCAUUAUUCAGACUUUUUACUUCCUCUCUGUGUUUUGCAGAGUUAUCUUUAAUGUUUUUCAGCCUUGUCAGCAUUUGCUUAUUCUGUGAAUCCAGUUCACUCUCCCUACUUCUCAACUGUUCAAGAUUUUCUUCCAAAUUCUUUUGAGCUUCAAGAUCAGCAUGCUGUUGCCGAUCCAGAACCUCUUUCUCAUCUGUUAGCUUCGCAGUUUUCAUCCCAGCAUCCUCCUUCCUGUGACAUCAGCAUACCAUUAAUAUUUACAAAGCCUAUCAAGGAGAGCCUCUAAAUCCUAAGUUAUAUGGUCCAGUGAAGGUAAUUUAGAAAGUUCAUGAAGAUCGAAAGGUAGGCAGGAAACUGACUUCAAUUCUCAGCUCAAAAUUGAAAAGUAACAUGGCUUUUGGUUAAAGAAACAGAACUUCAUCUUUAAAACGUAAGGAAUGGGACACUAUCAUCACACUGAGAUGCAGUAAUAAAAUUAAACAGAGAUUACCAAACACUUACACUUUAAAAUAUUCCCUCAAUUUAGUAUCGUCUAACUGUAAUUUUUCACCACCGUCUCGUCCUUUUUCAUGUAAAUCCUCUAGUUGAGUGGUCAAAUCUUGGAUGCCCUUCUGCAGCUUUUUAAUUUCCUCUUUAUGUCUCUCCCUUUCUUUUUCUUUCUUACCAAGCUCAGUCUUACUUUUCUUGAUUUUUGAAUUUAUACGAGACAUUUCCUCUUUCAGUUUCAGCAGCUCUGGUUUCUACAAAUACGAAACCACAUCAAACAAUUCACUGUAUGUCCUCUUGAUCAAGCAUAAGAUCAAUUAUAUUUACAGAAAAGUAAAGGCCAUUUAUUUUAGAACGUCAGCAAAACUAGCAAUAUAACGGAAAAAAAUUCACAAGGACCCGUUCAUUCACCCACAGCAGCUAUACGAGACAGUCAGAUACUCUUAUAUUAUAUAUGUAGGUUGAACGAACACGGUUUCGCUAUAAUAAGUAAAAAUGUAAAGAUUUAUGUUAUAACUUCUCUUAAGCCUCGGUCAUUUGAGGGUCUAACGGAGACCAACUCAGUAACAAAAAAGCAAAAUGAAACUCAUGGUAUUGGACACAACUAUCAAUGAAAUUUCAAUCUUCUGUCCAAGGCAAAGAAACUCACGCUUUUGUCGAGUUUAUUACUUCUCUCGGCAAUCUUCUUCUCACAUUGGGCAAUCUCUUUUAAGUACUUGUUGAGUUCUUUCUUCUUUUUGGUUGCUUCUUGCUGAAAAUCAUCUAGUUCUUGCAUAACCUGUUCACGGUUUCUCUUUUCAGCUUCAAGCUCAUUAGUCGUUUUUGUUAUAUCUCUUUCUAUGUUGAACAACUGCCACAAAAAAUGUUCUCUCUUCAAAGAUUUCUGCAAGAAAGAAUACAUGUGAUUUUAGUAUUACACAGAAUCAAAGUUCUUAAGCAGAAGAUUCAAAGACAGGAGCAUACACCUAUUGAGCAUGUAAAAGAAACAAAACGUCAAUACCAAAAUAGUCUACAGGGAUAAGAGUUUGAUAUAUUAAAGACAGAUCCUAUAUUAGAUUUAAUCUACAUGUGUGAAUGCACACAACCAUGUGGAUGCAAGAUUCAUAGUGUGUGCGUAUUUGCGUGUGUGCGUGCAAAAGAGAUAAAAGGGAAAUGCAAUAUGCGAGACCCUCUUUCCUGAAAGUGAGUUCCUAGUAUCUACAAUAUCUUUUAAAGUUACAUGAUAUCUUUCAUGCAGGCACUUGUACAAUUAAUUACAUAAUUUCACCCAACACGGAUAAUUGAAACAAGCAGGAUAGACAUACGAACAACCCCGAUAAACAUAAUAUACAACAUAUGCAUAUUAUUGUGUGCAUAUAGACAUAUGUAACCAUUAACCAGUAAGCACGGACCAAGUAUGUGUAUAAAUAUAUAUACACACACACACAGCAAGUACGUGUAUAUGUAUGUAAAUAGAAAAAGAACGUUGAGGUACAAACCAGUUCAUUUUGCAGGCGAAUAUGCUUCUCAGCUUCUUCCUUUUGCUCUUUCUUUUGCUUCCUCUCCGCUACUAUGGUCCUCUUUUUCUGAUAAACAAGUGCUGCUUUUUCUUCAGCUAUGCCUUUCUCUUCUUCGUACUUUUCAUAGUCUCUCUUGAAGUCAUCUGACCCUGAGAUCUGCUCAAGCAGUGCAGUGAGUUCCUUAGGAUUUUUAGAGGCAAUGGACUCCACAUCACCCUACGGAGAAAGAAAUAAUCAGUAAUUAAAAGUGACCCGGUUACUGCCAAGAUAUGCAAACAUCAAAGUCACCAUAAAAGCAGCAGUCAUCUAUUUGUCUAUGAAAAAUAAUGCAAAUGAGUAGAGAUUGCACGGUUAGCAACUUCUGUGAAUUCUCGUUUUUUCCCUUUUAAUUUUGGUUUGGAUGAACAUGUUUCCAAAUUUAAUAAAGAUGUUCCAACGCGUCACUACACCGGAGUGCCCAAAUAAGAGUACACAGAGCCUGAAUUCAACAAUGGGUGGCAAGACAUUUACGUUACCUAACCCAACACCUUCAACUUCGCAAACGAAAUGUGCAAUUGGCGUCAGAGACAUUUUCGAUAUUCAAUAAUUAACUAACGCAAGGUGUGGCCAAUAAAUGUCAUUGAUGUACCUUCUCAUUCUAUUCUCAUUCAAAACCUCUGCUUCUUAGCAAACAUACUCCCUAAAGCAUAAUCAAUGAAAACAAUUCGACAUAGAAAAGCUAAAUUACGAGUAUCAAGUAAUCGAAAUCAACCUGAAAAACAAGAAAAUUGCGGGCCUUGACCAGAAUUCCCAACGACUUAAGCUUCUCAGUAUAAGUAUCCGCCGUCACCGACCUGCCGUCGAUGCGGUACUCACUGCCGCCGGAGCUAGUGAUGGCCCUGGUGAACUGGAUCUCGGACUCAUUGGCAAGCUGAUAAACCAAGGUCACGAACGCCCGGCGUCCCUUCUCGGUCUUCUCGCUGUCGUCCAUGGCGUAGAUCAGGUCCUUGAGCUGGGACCCACGGAGCUGGCCGGUCUUGACGCCGAGGACGAAGCUGAUGGCGUCCAUGAGGUUGGACUUGCCGGAGCCGUUCGGGCCGAUUAUGGCGGUGAAGUCGGAGAAGGGGCCGAUGACCUGGUGGCCGCGGUAGGACUUGAAAUUCUCGAGCUCGAGGCGGUGGAUUUUGCCCUGGGAGAUGAAGGACGGCAUGGCUUAGGGUUUCGGGGAGUUUGAAUCGAAGCUAGGGUUUGGGGAGGAGGUGGAAUUGAGCGGAGUAAAGGAGAGAGGAGAUGAGGGGAGGGGUGGCCGGAGAGAUGAGGAGGGGAGGUUUCCGGCGAGAGGGGAGGGAGGAGUGGAGGCGGAGAGGAGGGGAUUGGGGAUUUUGAGGUGGGAAUUGGCGGGAGAUUGGGGGAGUUUUGGGGAAUUUUAGGGAGGGUUGGUGAUUUGAGUUGCCAUUUUCGAAGUGAGAAAAAGUAGGAGACCGCAAAGAGUGAGCGCUUUAGUAGAGAGUCGAAACGUUUCGCUUUGGGCAAGAGAAUGCUAUUAUUUUUAUUUGCAGUUUAGUCCUUAAGGUUUUCUUUAUUUUCGUUUUGGCCGCUAGUUGGGUCAAGAUUUUACUUUUUUCUUCUUGUCUGAAUUCAAUAUGUGGAAAUUCAGUAGUUAGUUUCUUACCUUUCUGACUUUAAUCUUGUUUGAUCAAAACAAAAAACAAGCUCUUAUGAACUUUCAAUAGUCUCAUAAUAAUGUGUAUCAAUGAAGAAUGAAUCUAAAAAGGGGAUCAAUAGCUACUUAAAUUAUUGUUAAGAUUAUAUGAUAUGAUGUUAGAUUAUAGAAUCAUAUCACAAUAAAAAAUUGUAAUUUAAUAUUACUUGGAGAAUCAAUAUAUAAUCUUAAUUUUAGCGUAGAUGGUUAUUGUCUUUAUUGAUCCACCCAAAUCGAGAUCUAGAAAGAUGAAUGUCAAGGAGCUUUGGGGGGAAACUGGAAAGUAGGGGAUUGGCGGGAGAUGAAAUUUGUAAACUGCAGAAUAAAACUGCGAUAAUAUAAAAUUAUGAAGAAUGGGCUUUUCUAUUCAAAAAAAAAAAUUAUGAAGAAAAAAAUUACCAUGGUCAAUUGACUUUCCUAACAAAAAACAUCACAAAAAAGGUGCAACCAAGGCAAAGGCUAUGAAUAGGGAACAAAUCAAGUUGUCAUUCUACUUUCAUAAUGACAGUACGUCUUUAUAUCGUUGCGGUACGGUUCUUGCACUCGGGAAUUUCCAACAAGGAAAGCGAAGAGAAACCGGCAUAUAAGUGAGGAGAGAAUCCAGAACAUAUACUACACCAGAGAACGGUACAUAGACAUGUCAAGUAAGGCAAAGAAACUACUCAUCUGAAAAUGAAAAACAGAAAAAGACAGUAGCAAGAUGCACAUACAUAAAAAGAGUUUAGCAGAAGGGGCUUAUAGAAUGGAGACAGCUUCCACAAAAUAGUUUUGCCCCCACCUGAAGUCCACAUUCCAUGCUUAAAAAGUACCGAGUAUGAUUACAGAAUGGUUAAUUACUCUGAACAACAAUCAAAGAAAGAGACUCCUAAUGGACAAGGAUAUCCUGCUAGUAAGAAGUCAUCUGGAUGGAUGAAGCUUCAUCAAUGACCAACUUUUUCACUGCUAGACGAAGUGCCGUCUUGUACAGAAUCCGCUAUUUUGGUUUCACUAGGAGUUCCCACAGGCGCAGAUGGGAUGACUUCAGAAUAAAUGGAAUAUUCAGGCAGUAUACCGCCACGGUUUUGGAUGUCAUCUAAAUCCUCACGCUCAGGGGGGUUUGAGUUUCCUGGCAGUUCUCCAUGAUUUUGAGCCGGCACUUCUGGCACCUCAGGUCUGGUGGCAUCCGGAUUUUCAAGCUGUUGGCCUCCAGAGUUUUGGGAAGCUUCCAACUCCUCAUACUUGGAAAUAACUUGUUGAAGUUCUUCAUGAAGAUAUAGAGCCUCAAAGAGCAUACUUUCAUCAUCAGUAGUGGUUUCUAUAAUCCUCUGAAUAACAGGCUGAGACUCCUUGCACUUUUCCAGCAUGUUCAUCGUUAGUUCUUCCUGCAAUCAAGCAAGCAUUUCCACCAAGUUACAUAUCAUCUUCCGCUCACAAGUUGAUCUUUGGAUUAGGUAAAAUAUGGAAAAAUAAUCGUAGGAAAGGUCAAAUACUAUCUAGAAGAAUUAUUAUCAUGCAAUAUAUAAUCAUAUAGGAUAACAGCGUACAGGCAAACCUAGCCAUAGAAGAAUUACAACCGCUCUCCCUUACGGUCUGUGCUCAUAGUCAUAAUGCACGGAACAUGAAAAUUCUUCAACCUGCCCUAUAUUAUUUCUAUCUUCCUUUUAUAUACAAGGGAUAUGUAUUCUUCAAUAAUAUUUUAUAAAAGUAUUUUGAAUAUCCGGAUGCUUUAGAAUAGAAAUUUGUCAGUGAUAAGGAAGCAAAGCACUUAGUUCUAUCUCAGUAUUGAUUCCAGAGAAAUUUACACACACACACACACACACAUAUAUAUAUAUAGGAAUUAGUAUUGAUUUCCACAGAGAAGUCAGAAACACACCUUCAAAGGUUUCGGAUCUGUUUCACUAUUCAAAAUACUAGACAGCAACUCCAGGCUAUUGCGAGCUACAACAAGACAUUCUUUUUUUUCCUCGACUGAUAGGUAGUUAUAGCGAAAUUCACGGUCACUUGCAUCAUGAAAUCCUGUGACUGGUACAGGGUAUCUUUCCGGGGGAGGCAUAGGCUCUUCCAUGUAUGAUUCCAAGGUAGAUUGCAACGAGGGCGAAGUCCCUUCUGGUGCCACUGGACGUGCUCCUCUUUCUCUCAAUGUCUGUAUAACACCCAGAGAUAUAAUAAGGACAUCAAAUAUUACUUCAAUGGAUGAAAACCAAGAUUACUACAAGAAGAAAAUUCCAUGGUCCACAGAAGACAGGCCAGAAA